Molecule: ribosomal RNA, 467 nt
Filed under: uncultured bacterium
Lineage: Bacteria
Description: partial 16S ribosomal RNA
Rfam family: Bacterial small subunit ribosomal RNA
Source: RNAcentral
GCUGAACGCUGGCGGCGUGCUUAACACAUGCAAGUCGAACGAUGAAGCCCAGCUUGCUGUGUUGAUUAGUGGCGAACGGGUGAGUAACACGUGAGCAACCUGCCCCUGACUCUGGAAUAAGCGCUGGAAACGGCGUCUAAUACUGGAUAUGUCCCGUCACCGCAUGGUGUGCGGGUUGAAAGAUUUUUCGGUUGGGGAUGGGCUCGCGGCCUAUCAGCUUGUUGGUGAGGUAAUGGCUCACCACGGCGUCGACGGGUAGCCGGCCUGAGAGGGUGACCGGCCACACUGGGACUGAGACACGGCCCAGACUCCUACGGGAGGCAGCAGUGGGGAAUAUUGCACAAUGGGCGGAAGCCUGAUGCAGAAACGCCGCGUGAGGGAUGACGGCCUUCGGGUUGUAAACCUCUUUUAGCAGGGAAGAAGCGAAAGUGACGGUACCUGCAGAAAAAGCACCGGCUAACUACGUG